RNAcentral lists this long non-coding RNA (4095 nucleotides) under Nicotiana tabacum (common tobacco). Its description in RNAcentral is "long non-coding RNA (NTAB_LNC007672)". The record is from RNAcentral. Lineage: Eukaryota; Viridiplantae; Streptophyta; Magnoliopsida; Solanales; Solanaceae.
AGCCAUCGGCCGCCGUGUUCCGCUACCGAAAAUCGCCCACAGGCGGCGGCCGUCGUCCAAACCACCCCAAAAUUUCACCCUUUCUUCCUCUCAACCUCCUUUCCAUGAAUCCAAACCCCAAAUCCUUUAAAUCCCUCUCAAUCCCCGUAAAUCUAUGCCUAACCGAAACCCUAGGCGCCGCUCACCACCCCAAACUCCAAAAUUUUUACACCACCGGUCUCCUCUCACUCUCCUCUUCUCCGUUCCAUGCCCCAAAACCUUCAAAACCCCUCCAAAAUCCGACCACAAUUCCGCCGAAUUCCGGCCAGCUACCUCCUGCCGUUACUGAGCCUCUUUUCUAGCAUGAACACGACCUCGUGGCCUCUCUUUCUCUUUGCCACAGUGCUGGAAUCAACUUUGUUUUGCCAAAGUUUGUAUUUUUUGGCAUUUGACAUCGAGAAAAAGAGGUGUGGAGAUCGAUUCGCCGUCUAGUCGUGUUGUACUACUGGUUUGAAGCCCGAGCGUUUAGGUAAAAUCCAAAUCCCUUGUUCAUCAAUUUUAGUCUUUCUUUGUUGACUGAUUUUGAGAUUGUUUUUAUUUGUUUAGUUUAAGUUCUGUUUUUUUUCUUCUUCUUAAUUAGUGAUUUUAGUCGUCGUUUGUUGAUUUUGAAUUAUUAUGUUGUCCGUUCUUUUAGUUCUUUGUUUCGAUCGGUUAUCUCAUAUUUUCUGCUAGUGGUUUGAAAUUAGUUAUAGAUUCAAGUUUGUAAACUUCAAGUAUAGUUUCUGUUAGUUCAUGUUUAGCUCGUCCUGAUAAUUAACUAAAGUUUCAGCUUUUCGGCAUAAUCACUUGUCAAUUUGGUUACUCGUUUGUUUGAGUUGGCGUUAUUAGUUAGUCGUUUGUAGUUGUGAAUCAGUGAUGUUAGUCUUCUCUCGGUGAUUCUUAGUUUAGUCGUCUAUAUGUUCGAGUUAGCCAUAUUAUUUCGUCCCUCGCUACUGAUUCUGUCAACUUCGAGUAGUCGCUUUAUCGGUUUAGACUCGAGUAUAUUAGUUUGAAUUAUUAUUAGUUCAGGUUAUUCAGAUUGUGUUUUAGAUUCAAUUAGUUGAUUAACAUGUUAUUUAUAUUGUCGUCGUCUUUGAUAAGAAUCCUCUGUUUCGUUUAGUGUUAGUAACUGUUAGUUAUUUGAUUCAAUUAACUGCUAGAUUGUGCUUUAGAUUCAAUUAGUUUAUUAACAUGUUGCUUAUAUUGUUGUUGACAUAAGAAUUAUCUGCUUGUUUAUUGGCAUAAGAAUUAUCUGCUUGUUUUCUUUGUGGUGGCUCAUGCAUUCUUCUAUGAGCUCUUGUCCAUGUACCCUUAGUCCAGAAAAUAAGUAUGUAGUUUCUAUUUUGUGCAAAGAUUAAUCUGGUAACUGCGAUAGGGCUUUGUUUCAGUUUAUUUGUGAGUUAGUCCCAUAUCAUGGGUUCGAACCUUUCUGCCACACACAAAGCCUGGUGUGGCAAAGGAGAAUGUCGGGCCUGUACUCUACUGGAGUUAUAGUCUUGCUAUAAUUCCAAAGAAAAAAGAAAAGGAGGUUGACAACUAACUUUUGGUUGUGGUGCACACCCUUAUUGGCGUUUACCAUAUGAAAUCUACUCCCUUUGCUGGUUGCUGAUGCAUUCGUUUAAUUCCUGGGCUAUCUUAAUUCCUCCGAUUCAAGGUCAAAAGUUAUAGUUUGUUUCUGCUUUUUGUGAAGGGUUAACAUCAAGCUGAAUAGAACAUUACAUUUUGUCACAUUGUCCAUUUUAAGAAUUUAAGUUGAUGAAUUACUUGCAGUUAAUUCACAGUUCAUUCUCUUUUGUUCAUUACUCAUGGUUGUGAUCUUUGGAUCGGUAGUAUCAUACCAGUCUUCUGUAAUUAUAUGCUCAUAUCUCUUUAAUUAAAGUUUCAGCUUUUCGGCAUAAUCACUUGUCAAUUUUGGUUGUUAUAGGCUCUAAUUGGUAGUAUUUUGUUAUUGAACAUUUGUAUAGUUGUUGUUGUGGUUGGCGUUGUUGUUAUUAGCGUUGUUGUUGUGGUUGUGGUUGUUAUUAGCGUUGUUGGUUAAUUGUUGUUGUUGGUUAACUGUUGUUGUUGUUGUUGGUUAAUUAUGGUUGAAUGGCAGCAAUGUAAUGCUGCCAUUAUAGGAUGGAUAUUGGUUGUAAUUGGCAGGUGGUGUCGGAAAUCUCAUUUUUUUUUCCAGAAAUUCAAAAUUUCCGACCGAAGUUGGUCGGAAAUUUUGAAUUUAAAUAAAUUAACAAUUUAUUACAAUUUACAAAUAAUUAUAUAUUUAAAUAAAAUUAUUAUAUAUUUAAAAUUCCGACCGAUUUCGGUUAGUAUUUUGAAAAUUAAAUAAAAAAAAAUUUAAUUAAUACCGACUGAUUUUCGGUCGGUAAAUGCAGUUUGACUGUCAGUCAACGCAUUGAAUAAACCGACCGUUUUCGGUUGGAAAUUUCCGACCGAUUUCGGUUGAAACUCCUUAGUGACCAUAAUUUUUCCGACUAAUUAAAAGCGGUCGGAAAUCGGUCGCUUUUUCUCCAUUUCCGACCGAUUUUGGUCGGUUUUCCUGGACGAAAUUAGCCUAGUGACUGUUAGUUAUUGUGUCUGAGUUCGACUCUUCCAACAAGAUUAAGUAGAUAUAUGUAAGAAUAUUACUUGUACUCUAAUUUCUAGCACUGUAUAAAGAUGAACAACAACCCAUAAAGGGUGUGUGUUGGUUUCAUAUGGGUAAAGACAUGGAUUUAACCAUGAGAUUAUUGGAUAAUCUCAACCUUUUCAUUUUGGGACAACUACUCAAAAACAAGAUUCAUGAAUUCCUUCACAUUAAAAGGCAAUUGCAGGGAUCCAUUCAUGUUCAGAUCCUUGCCAUUCCAUUUCAGAGUUGUUACAGCAUAAAAAAGGAAAAUAUUAUAUUGUAUUAUUGAAAAAUGUUUGCCUAGUGAAGUUAUAGAGAAAUAUUAACACCACAUUCCUAAUAAAAGAAAAAUAUUUUAUCAAUAAUAUACUACAAUUCCUCUUCAAGUGAUAAUAACUUAUAGAGAAGAAAAGAUAGGGAGGCCGGGUAGAGUAUAACCAGCAUCAACAAUAAAGAUAUUGCCAGAUACAUAGUUGGAAGAGUCAUGGACCAAAUAUCUCACUAGUGAAGUUAAUGCUGGAUCUGUGGUUCCAAAAGUUUUCAGUGGAACAGUUCUUGUUGCUACAUUCUUUAGCCAAUCUUGUUCUACUAGUUUCUCAGUAAUCUCCGAUUUGAAAAGCCCUGGAGCUAUUGCAUUCACUCUAAUGUUGUGUUCUCCCAAUUCUAAUGCCAUUAUCUGCAAACGUACAGAUAUAUCAAAAUGUCAAUUUAGAGAUUUCCGAAGAUGGGAAAGCAAGAAAUGUUAGUCUAAGAAAACAGAUAUUUUUAAGAAAUAAAUUAGAAGCGACGAAAGUUAUAAUUCAUACAAAGUUAGCACUAUUUCAACUUUCUCUUUUCAUAAAAUUUAAAGGAGUAGGGGUGUGUUUGGUAUGACGAACAUCAUUUUAUGGAAAAUAUUUUUUUAACGAAAUGCCUUCUGGUUGGAGAGUUGAAAAUAUUUUCUACAUAAAGAAUCAUUUAUUAAAGUUCGAUAAUAAUAUAGCAAAUAAGUGUUUGAUUAAAAAUUGUGUAUUCAAAAUUGAUUAUAUUAUUAUCGAACUUUAAUAAAUGAUUCUUUAUGUAGAAAACUUGGGAUAAUUGUCAAGGAGAAUAACUUCCGAUGGAAAAUGAUGGAAGUCAUUUUUCCCGUUCGAUGGAAACUAUUUUUCCUGAAAGACAUUUUAUAACAAUCAAACACCAGAAAAUAACUUCAUAUCAAAAGCACCUUAGUUUUUAUCAUUUGGAACUUUUUUCCUUGGGUAAGAUAAGUUUCAACAUUAGGUUAUAACCUUUGUCAUGGAAUCCAUGGCAGCCUUGGAGGAGCUAUAGGCAAUUCCCCCACGCAUUAAAGCUCUAUUUAAACCAGAAAUAGAUGAAAUAUUAAUAAUGGAGCCUCCCCUUUUUGCAGCUUUCAUAUGUCUUCCAACAUACUUGGAAACUAGCCAAGAUCCUGUCAAAUUUGUUUGUAAAGUAUUGCGCCACUCUUCCUCAGA